AUGCUCGAUCUCAUCGGUAACUCCCAAAUCACCUUCUUUGGCAAAUUACCAGCAAACUCUUAAAGACCCAAAUCACCUUCUUUGGCAAAUCACCAGCAAAUUCUUAAAGAAAAUUCCCAAAUCAUCUCAUUGCUGUUGGAAUGGGUUCGUUUUUAUUUUUUUUGUCUUUUACCUCAAUGAGUUUCCUUUAUUAAAUCCAAAGCUGGAAUCGACAAUCAUAGCAACCCAGCAAACUCUUAAACCCAUGUCCUAAAUUCCCAAAUCCCUAAAUUCAUUUGUUAACCAAAAAUCCCCAAUCUCGAUUGGUAACCCAAAACUCCCAAAUCCUCAAAGUUCCAAACUCCAUUUGUUUCGCUCGAAGGAUUUGAAGAACAGCGAUUACAGGUGAAAAAAAAUAUUUCAAUCGCGAGAAAGUUUUGACCCAAAAAGCAAUCAGUGAGAAAUCAACUUCAGGUACACAUUCGAAUCCUUGGAAUGGAAGUGAAUGAAAUGAUUCUUGUAACCUUAGAGCUGAUGUGUAAAUGCUAAAUGAAGUUUGAUCCUCAAUUGUUUAAGCUUCAGUUUUCGUUUUAAGUCCGAUAUUUUGUUAGUAGUUUAGUAUUUUAGGAUCUUCUUAGUUUGUUGAUUUCGUUUAAGUAUUUCUGAUUUGCAUGAUAGUCAACAAUUUAUUUUAGUUGGGAAUCCUACAUAUGAGUGCUUAAGUUAGUUUGUCUUCUCAUGUAUUGUUCAUGAUAACUCUAUUUAGAUGUUUCAUUAGAGGAUAUUGGUUAGUAUCUCAUCCAUGUUUGAAAGAUGCAAUGUGUAGCUACUAACUCACUUCAGUUGAAUACCUUUAGAUUUCAACAUUGUUAAAUAGAUCAUAUAUUUGAUGUCAA
This is a long non-coding RNA of Nicotiana tabacum (common tobacco), 875 nucleotides long. RefSeq lists it as uncharacterized. Lineage: Eukaryota; Viridiplantae; Streptophyta; Magnoliopsida; Solanales; Solanaceae. The record is from RefSeq and is a predicted model, not a curated record.